RNAcentral lists this ribosomal RNA (362 nucleotides) under uncultured bacterium. RNAcentral describes it as "partial 16S ribosomal RNA". The record is from RNAcentral.
UCGGGAGUGAUCGCACUCGGGAGACAGCUGCAAAGACGAACAGCAGUCGUGAGUGAAGAAGGCAUUUCGGCAUUGUAAAGUACUCGUACUUGCGGGAGCAGAGCAGGAGGAGUUAGGAGAUAUGCUCUGGCGUAGACGAUACCUGCAAGAGGAAGCACGGCUAACUACGUAGCAGCAGCGCGUAAUACGUAGGGGGCAGCAGAUGAUCCGGAUGACUGAGAGCGAUAAGCGUUAAAGCGAUUUUGUCACGUCUGGGGUGAAGCCCGGGGCUCAACUGGGAUGGCUUGGAACGGGGAGACUGAGGUCGGAGAGUCAGGGGAAUCCACGUGUAGCGUGAAUGCGUAGAGAUGUGGAGAUACAGU